RNAcentral lists this ribosomal RNA (460 nucleotides) under uncultured bacterium. Its description in RNAcentral is "partial 16S ribosomal RNA". It matches the Rfam family "Bacterial small subunit ribosomal RNA", at positions 338 to 795 of the family's 1533-position model. The record is from RNAcentral.
CCUACGGGGGGCAACAGUGAGGAAUAUUGGUCAAUGGACGAGAGUCUGAACCAGCCAAGUAGCGUGAAGGAUGACUGUCCUAUGGGUUGUAAACUUCUUUUAUAUGGGAAUAAAACGUUCCACGUGUGGGAUUUUGUAUGUACCAUAUGAAUAAGGAUCGGCUAACUCCGUGCCAGCAGCCGCGGUAAUACGGAGGAUCCGAGCGUUAUCCGGAUUUAUUGGGUUUAAAGGGAGCGUAGGUGGAUUUUUAAGGCAGUUGUGAAAGUUUGCGGCUCAACCGUAAAAUUGCAGUUGAAACUGGCAGUCUUGAGUACAGUAGAGGUGGGCGGAAUUCGUGGUGUAGCGGUGAAAUGCUUAGAUAUCACGAAGAACUCCGAUUGCGAAGGCAGUUCACUGGACUGCAACUGACACUGAGGCUCGAAAGUGUGGGUAUCAAACAGGAUUAGAUACCCCAGUAGUC